ACGUGUCUGAAACGAUUCAGUCUGACUCUUCUCAGUGAACACUUGCACAAUGAAUCUUCUUUCAGUUAUUCUGUUCUGUGCUUCAACUGCUGCUGUAUUUGGAAAUGCCAUCAAACCAAACAAAACCGAUGUUUUUGCUCAGGAGGGCUCAAGUGUUACAUUAUCCUGUAGUUUUACUGCCUCUGGAGGUCAAGAUUAUCUCCUCUGGUAUCGUCAAUAUGGAAGAUCAAAACCUGAAUUUCUUGUACUCACAUACAGUAAAGCAAAAGAUGCUGAGGUGUCCGAUGUAGAUCCAAGAUUCACUGUUAAAAUUACAAGAGGGGAACAUGUGGAUCUGGAGAUCUCCUCUGCUACAGUGUCAGACUCUGCUGUGUAUUACUGUGCUCUGAGGCCCACAGUCACAGGAAACACAAGAACACUGUACAAAAACCUGUAA
This is a non-coding RNA of Pimephales promelas (fathead minnow), 436 nucleotides long. The record is from the annotation of a RefSeq genome assembly. NCBI's taxonomy places the organism in Eukaryota, Metazoa, Chordata, Actinopteri, Cypriniformes, Leuciscidae.